Molecule: ribosomal RNA, 414 nt
Filed under: uncultured microorganism
Description: bacterial SSU rRNA
Rfam family: Archaeal small subunit ribosomal RNA
Source: RNAcentral
GUGCAGCAGUCGAGAAAACUUCACAAUGUGCGAAAGCACGAUGAGGGAAUCCCAAGUGCUUGCACGUAAGUGUAAGCUGUUUCUCUGUCUAAAACGCAGAGAGAGUAAGGGCUGGGUAAGACGGGUGCCAGCCGCCGCGGUAAUACCUGCAGCUCGAGUGGUGACCGUUAUUAUUGGGCCUAAAACGUCCGUAGCCGGUUUAAUAAAUGCCUGGGUAAAUCGGACCGCUUAACGGUUCGAAUUCCGGGUAGACUGUUAAACUUGAGACCGGGAGAAGUUAGAGGUACUCCUGGGGUAGAGGUGAAAUUCUGUAAUCCUAGGGGGACCACCAGUGGCGAAGGCGUCUAACUAGAACGGGUCUGACGGUGAGGGACGAAGCCCUGGGGCGCAAACGGGAUUAGAUACCCUCGUAGU